RNAcentral lists this ribosomal RNA (432 nucleotides) under uncultured bacterium. RNAcentral describes it as "partial 16S ribosomal RNA". It matches the Rfam family "Bacterial small subunit ribosomal RNA", at positions 29 to 506 of the family's 1533-position model. The record is from RNAcentral.
AACGAACGCUGGCGGCAGGCCUAACACAUGCAAGUCGAGCGGACCCUUCGGGGUUAGCGGCGGACGGGUGAGUAACGCGUGGGAAUAUGCCCUUCUCUACGGAAUAGUCCUGGGAAACUGGGGGUAAUACCGUAUACGCCCUUUGGGGGAAAGAUUUAUCGGGGAAGGAUUAGCCCGCGUUGGAUUAGGUAGUUGGUGGGGUAAUGGCCUACCAAGCCGACGAUCCAUAGCUGGUUUGAGAGGAUGAUCAGCCACACUGGGACUGAGACACGGCCCAGACUCCCACGGGGGGGAGCAGGGGGGAAUCUUAAAAAAGGGGGGCAACCCUGAUUUAGCCAUGCCGGGUGAGUGAUGAAGGCCUUAGGGUUGUAAAGCUCUUUCAGCGGGGAAAAUAAUGACGGAACCAGCAAAAGAAGCCCCGGCUAACUCCGU